GAUGAACGCUGGCGGCGUGCCUAAUACAUGCAAGUCGAGCGAACGGACGAGAAGCUUGCUUCUCUGAUGUUAGCGGCGGACGGGUGAGUAGCACGUGGAUAACCUACCUAUAAGACUGGGAUAACUUCGGGAAACCGUAGCUAAUACCGGAUAAUAUUUUGAACCGCAUGGUUCAAAAGUGAAAGACGGUCUUGCUGUCACUUAUAGAUGGAUCCGCGCUGCAUUAGCUAGUUGGUAAGGUAACGGCUUACCAAGGCAACGAUGCGUAGCCGACCUGAGAGGGUGAUCGGCCACACUGGAACUGAGACACGGUCCAGACCCCUACGGGAGGCAGCAGUAGGGAAUCUUCCGCAAUGGGCGAAAGCCUGACGGAGCAACGCCGCGUGAGUGAUGAAGGUCUUCGGAUCGUAAAACUCUGUUAUUAGGGAAGAACAUAUGUGUAAGUAACUGUGCACAUCUUGACGGUACCUAAUCAGAAAGCCACGGCUAACUACGUG
This 497-nucleotide ribosomal RNA is filed under the name uncultured bacterium. Its description in RNAcentral is "partial 16S ribosomal RNA". It matches the Rfam family "Bacterial small subunit ribosomal RNA", at positions 28 to 507 of the family's 1533-position model. The record is from RNAcentral.